GCCUGAGUGUUUUGUCAGGCCAUGCUGAUAUGAGCCAUGGAUAUGAGUCCAUGCUGGCCUGACAAAACACUAUUUUCUGCCGCAGCUCCCCCCACAAUCCAACCGCCAGCUUUUGUUCAACGUUUCAACUAAGAUUGUCUUGUGGAUUGAGUGUGUGGAGCUGUCAGUCCCUGGCUGGGCCUGCCAAGCUGCACGUCCUGGUCAGAGGGGAGGCCGGGGCAAAUGGUCGGGGCGUCGUUGUGGGUCCGGCCGACCUCCCACCACUGAGCAGUGGACCCCCUCAACAGAUUGAGCCUCCAGCUGGCCGGCACGGGUCCGCCUUGGCCCCAUGCUGAGGGCACACAUGCCACAAAACACAAAUUCCCACUUGCACGCUAACACUAACACUAACACACUCAAACAUGCACAGACACACAAACACCAGUCUGCAGAGUACUCAUUCACAGCAAUUUAAAUAAAGAUCAUGCUCUAAA
Molecule: long non-coding RNA, 473 nt
Organism: Micropterus dolomieu (smallmouth bass)
Lineage: Eukaryota; Metazoa; Chordata; Actinopteri; Centrarchiformes; Centrarchidae
Exons: 2
Source: RefSeq, a predicted model, not a curated record